UAGUGGAGCAGCUAGACAAAUAAGCUGAGACGGCAAUAAGAUGCGGCUGGUGCCAGAGUAAGGAAAUCAGUGGAUGCUCUGCCAAUGGCACUUUUUACCCCAGGAGCAGCUAUCAGCUAAUACUUAACACAAGUGUCUGGGUCUACGUUUCUCUCCCUCUCCACAACAUCUUACAUGCCCAGGAUGAACCCAAAUGAAGCCCUACAGAUCCCAAUCCCAAUUCAUGUCAAGCUUCUAUGAGCAAACAGCUUUUCUAUCUGAAUGUGCAAAACAAACACUAAGGACCAUUUACUACACAAGUUCCUCAGACAUAUUUCAAAGACUAGAGUAUAAAAAAUACUCCUGAUGUAUUUCUACCUCUCCAUGAUGUGGUCAGAGAAUUAAUUCCAUGAAGAAGGGGACUAUGGAAGACAUUGCAAUUGACGAACCAUCCUCCUCGCCUCCCCUUAUAAACAGAAUCUCAAUUUUAUUGGGGGCAGCAAUGUGUACAGCUCAUAAUACUUGGUGAGAUAAUCAUUUUCCCAGACUCCUUUGCUGUUGAGGACACCAGCAUAGCACAUUCCUGCCAACGAGAUUUUUCUGGGAAUCUGCUAGGAGGCUUCUGAGAGUUUUUGAAUGUUUCUAAAAGGGACGAGAAUAAGAAGAGAUUCCUUUGCCACUUCUUUGUGAUUUGAAAGCAGAUGAGAUGUUGGGAGCUAUGGCAACCAUGGGACAAUGAGGCAACACAAAUAAAGACAAAAGCCAGCAUGCUAAGAACACAGAGAAGAAUGAAACCAUGCCCUUGGUAACAUUUUAGAGGGACUGGACUAUGGACUGCCCGUCCUAAAUUUCUGUUAGAUAAACAUUACUUGUCCCUGCGGUUUAAGCCACGUUUAAGUGCCUAUUAUGGUACUUGCUGCUGAAAGCAUUGCUAGCGGAGAUCAGUGUGUGUCCUGUUCAUCUCUCCAGCCUUAGUACCAAGACCAGUGGCUGACACGUAGUAAGCGGCCAAAGAAUAUUUGUUGAAAGAAUAAAAAGAUGAGUGGAUUUUAGUUCAGAUACAAAGCAUCAGACCUAACUUGUGAGUGGUAAAGAUAUUUUAUUUAUUUUAUACUGAAUUUUUAUUGAGUAUAAUUUCUCUGAAAACAAAAUGUGCCAUGCAUAUUUUUUUGCCUUAUACCGCUUUUUUCUUGCUAACCAAACCCCAGAUUUCUUGACCCUUGAACACAGUAUCUAAGGGAGGAUAGACCCCUCUCCAGUCCCAGAAAAUAAAUGUUGAUUAGCCCAUGCCAAUCAUGGUGGUCUCAUACCAAUUGCAUGAUGGGGUGUCUUAUGCCUGGGCAUGAGAGACAAUUGUGGCCAAUGGGGCUAAUUCUGCUGGGUACUUUGAAGAAAGGUAUUUUUCACUAAGAAAAGGUGGUAAGUGGAAGGAAAUGAUCCUCUUCUCAGGUCUUCAUAUGAUGUCACGACCUCCAUCAGCCAUCUUGCAAAACAAAGGAUAAAGCUUGAGGACUAAGCCACCACACUGAGAAUGGGAGCAUGGAGAGAUGGAAAGAACUUGCGUCCUUCAUGACACGGUUUAGCCAGUCUAGGAACCAAACUAUCCCCAGACUCCCGGGCAAAUACAGGCUUUGUGGAGCCUGGAGCUUCUUCAGUCUGGGGGUUCUCUU
This is a long non-coding RNA of Equus caballus (horse), 1649 nucleotides long. The record is from Ensembl. NCBI's taxonomy places the organism in Eukaryota, Metazoa, Chordata, Mammalia, Perissodactyla, Equidae.